GACGAACGCUGGCGGCGUGCCUAAUACAUGCAAGUUGAGCGCUGAAGGUUGGUACUUGUACCCACUGGAUGAGCAGCGAACGGGUGAGUAACGCGUGGGGAAUCUGCCUUUGAGCGGGGGACAACAUUUGGAAACGAAUGCUAAUACCGCAUAAAAACUUUAAACACAAGUUUUAAGUUUGAAAGAUGCAAUUGCAUCACUCAAAGAUGAUCCCGCGUUGUAUUGGCUAGUUGGUGAGGUAAAGGCUCACCAAGGCGAUGAUACAUAGCCGACCUGAGAGGGUGAUCGGCCACAUUGGGACUGAGACACGGCCCAAACUCCUACGGGAGGCAGCAGUAGGGAAUCUUCGGCAAUGGACGAAAGUCUGACCGAGCAACGCCGCGUGAGUGAAGAAGGUUUUCGGAUCGUAAAACUCUGUUGGUAGAGAAGAACGUUGGUGAGAGUGGAAAGCUCAUCAAGUGACGGUAACUACCCAGAAAGGGACGGCUAACUACGUG
Molecule: ribosomal RNA, 497 nt
Filed under: uncultured bacterium
Lineage: Bacteria
Description: partial 16S ribosomal RNA
Rfam family: Bacterial small subunit ribosomal RNA
Source: RNAcentral